CUAGUGAACAUUUAAUCAAAAUUUAUAAUUAUAGAUGGAUUAUAGACUUUGUUAUUUGGCCAACAAAUAAAACAUCUGACCAGAUCUGAUUAAAAUUGAAAUAGAAAUUGAAGUAAAUUGAAGUAGAAAUAAAACAUCUUCAUAGUUGCUGCUUGUUGCACUAUGAUCAAUAGCUGCUGCUAUAAUAGACUUGGUUAUGGAGAAAUUUAAUUAAGAUAUAAAUAUCAUCAACAAACUUUGAUAGUUCUUCAGUGAGAAGUGAUGUGAAUUCUUAUUUUCUAACAAUAUGAAUUUUAUUGUUGAUCAUAUGCCACUGUUCUAAAAUGGCUUCCCAUCAAUUAUAAGUUGGAUAAUUUAGCACCGCAUUUUUUGUUUUUCUUUUCUGUGGUUGCUUUUUUCAUUUUAUACCUUAUCUUUUUUCACAGAAUUCCAGUAACGAGUCUUUAAUUGGAAGCUUUCAGCUUGCGUUUUCCUUAAGAAAUAUAGCUCUUAAUGGAGGUAAGUUCCUCAAGUUUUUAUAUUCUACUUUUAUUUUACAGAUCUUAAUAGAUUUGGAUCGAAACUAGUGAAUGGCUUGUUUCAGGCUUGAUUAAUGUUCAUAAUGGAUAAUAAGUUAUCUUCAAAGACAAAGCUAAUAAGGCUCAAUUCAGUUGUAAGAGUACUACAUAAGAACUGAUUUUGUGCUAGAUAAUCCAAUGGUCAAUGAUCCAGACUAAGAAAUUAAAAAAUAGAAUGUAUUUCUGAUUUGAACUCAUUCAAUAUGUUGAUUGUAGUAUGGAUGCAUGCUCUCUUUCCUUAAAAUAGGCUACUUAAAUCAAUAACUUACUAAUCUGAUAUGACGCAUUUUUACACCAUUGUCUCCUACAUGGGAUCAAGCAACUUCUCAAUGAUUUUCAAUUCAUUCAAAAUAAAUUGGCUUCAUGACUAAUUCGAAGAAGAACUCCUGCCCCCAACAAAAUAUUAACAAUAAUAAUAAUAAUAAUGAUAAUUUGUCCCUGCAAAAGAAAUUUAUACCACCUUUGUUUCUAUCUCAAUGAGUUAGCAGCUUUUACUGCAUUUGGAUAUAUCAUAUUUGUGGUUAUAACUUUCAAAAGUGCAUGGCAUGGAGCUUUUACAAAAUGGCGCACCUUGAUGAUGAGAUUUCCUGACAACUCAUGCUCUUUACAAGCUCUGAUUGUUGACUGCAUGAAAUAUCUUCAAAUAAAUGUGUUUGUCUAGGUCAACUUAGUUUUUAAUUCUGUCUGUCUGUCUUUUAACAUUAGAUUGGAGCACUCCCGGUACAAAUUUCACCAUCUACUUUUGUCAGUCAAUGAGUUUCAAAUUUGCUCUCUCUCUAGUACAAUAUAAUAUAUACAUAUAUGAAAAUCCUGCUAAAUAGAUUUGUGUAUUGACACAAGUAUUUUAUCUACUAGGAUUUUCUUUCCUUUCUGUUGUUUCAUUUAACAGCCAGAAAUGUGCUUCAUCUUCAUAGUUGUUUCUUGCUGCACCAUGAUCAAUAGUUGCUGCUAUAAUAGACUUGGUUAUGGAAUUCUUAUUUUCUAACAAUAUGAAUUUUAUUGUUGAUCAUAUAUGCCACUGUUCUAGAAUGGCUUCCCAUCAAUUUUAAGUUGGAUAAUUUAGCACCACCUUUUUUGUUUUUCUUUUCUGCGGUUGCUUUUUUCAUUUUAUACCUUAUCUUUUUCAUUUUCAGUGAAAGGUAUAAUAGUUUGCAUAAACUUGUGGAAGACGCAUAUAGCUGAAAUGCGUGGAGAACUAAGGAUAUCGAAGAUGGGACAACAUACUUUCUCAUCUGAUAUCCAUCCCUGAUGAUUCACAAAUGAAUUGGGAUGAGGCCUGCUUCUAGCCAACUUCAUAUAUUUCAUGAUAUGAAUACAUUAUUUAAUUGUUUUACUUUUUUAACUACUUUAAUACUUGAACAUCCUGAUAUAGUUUCAAAAUAUUUUUCAUAUUUAUCGUUUUUAAUGUUAGACUAUAUUAGUGUGUUUUGAUAUUUUAAAUUGCAGAAUUGUAAAUUAAAAUAUAUGUGUACAUGUUAUUACAACAGGUUUAAGAAUACAAUAGAAAAAAGGAGAUAAAUUAGCUUCAAUGGAGCCAUUAGUGACCAAUCAACCAUAAUUUUCCAAUCAACUUAGCGAUCAAAUGUCCAUAUCAAUGACCAAAUUGUAAAUUGUUGAGAUUAUUUCUAUAAAUAGCCUAGAUUUGUACUGAUAAUUAGGGAUAUGAUUGUGUGAUAUGAUUGGGAUAUGAUUAGGCUAUAAUUAGAUAAUUAAGUUAUUUUCUUACUUAGUAUGUUCUCUUGUAAGUAAUAUAUAUACCCCAAUUGGCUUGAGGGGAAUAAUCAAGUAUUUUCUCUCAAAUCUUCUGCUUUCUUUUUCUUCUUUUCAUCAAAGGUUUCAUAAAUGAUAACUGAAAUUCUGUUCCAUUUUACUACCAAUUAGCAAUGACACAGCGACCAAAAUAGCUACCAAUUUACGACCAAAUAGUGACCAAUUUGCGCUCACUAGUUAACGACCCAAUUGCGACAAAUUUAGCAAUCAAAUUUUCGGUUGUCAACUUUAUUCAAGCACUCGAUUAGCGACCAAUAUUUGGUCGCUAAAUAAUGAUCAAAAUGAUUUGGGUCGCUAAAUAAUUAGUGGCAGGCCAAACACCAACCACUCUUUUGUGGUCGCCAAUUGGUUGCUAUUUACGAAUAACAAUCAAUUUUUGUCAUUGAGCUGACCAAAAUUUUAGUCGCUAUUUCAGUUUUUUUUGUAACUAUGGUUCUAACGUGUUAAAGUAAUUGACUAAUAUGUCACCAACAUCUCAGCAACAUCUUAAAAUUAGUACAAUUAUAGAAAAUUUCCCAAUUUAUGCCAACUCUAAUAGAAAAACUUUUUUCAUAUCGUCAUGUGAGGCAAACCAACAUAAUUAAUGGAUAAACCAAGUGUGUGCUAGCAACUGCAAUAAAGUCUUAGCCCUUAAUAGCUAAGCAAAGAUAAAAUGUAAAUCAGGGAAAUUAUAUCAUUAUGUCACAUUCAAAUAGUUUUGAUCCGACUGAAUUGCUCAACGAGAAUCAAUUAUUAACUGAUUUCAAUAGCUAACAAGAAUUUCUGGAUAGUCCCUGAUUAUUUUCCCAAUAAGCUCUAAAUUAUAACUGAACCAGCUCUAAAUUAUAACUGAACCAUAAAUUUAAUUUUCUUCAAAACUAUGAAUUUUCUUGAGUUCCCUAGGUUGCAUCACCUUUGCAUCUUUGGUGCACCUUGCAUGAUUGAAGUACUCUAAGAUAUCGAGAUUUAGCAUUUUUCAGUUUGAUGUAUGUUAUGCAUUUCACUAUGGGUAGUUGCUCAGUCAAAUAGCAAAAAUUUUGGGUUUGCAACCACAAGGAUGUAAGUUCAAAUCUUGACGGCAAAACUGUUAAAAGUAGAACUCUUUCAGAAUUUUCACUCCCAGGAACAUCCAGAAAUAAAAAAGGAAAUGGCCUUCUCAGUGUUGCAUGUUCACCAGGAAUAUUAUAUAUAGUAUCGGUAACCAUAUGGGAAGCAUUAUGCCAAGAAUUCUGUAGAAAGAUAAUAUUUG
RNAcentral lists this long non-coding RNA (3555 nucleotides) under Manihot esculenta (cassava). RNAcentral's name for it is "long non-coding RNA (MESC_LNC004506)". Lineage: Eukaryota; Viridiplantae; Streptophyta; Magnoliopsida; Malpighiales; Euphorbiaceae. The record is from RNAcentral.